Molecule: ribosomal RNA, 892 nt
Filed under: uncultured organism
Description: bacterial SSU rRNA
Rfam family: Bacterial small subunit ribosomal RNA
Source: RNAcentral
UUCAGCCGCUGACGAGUGGCGCACGGGUGAGUAACGCGUACAUAACCUGCCUUCAAGAGAGGGAUAGCCCUGGGAAACUGGGAUUAAUACCUCAUGGUAUUGCUAAGUCGCAUGGCUGUGCAAUUAAAGUUUCGGCGCUUGAAGAUGGAUGUGCGUGCCAUUAGCUAGUUGGUAAGGUAACGGCUUACCAAGGCAACGAUGGCUAGGGGGCGUGAGAGCGUGACCCCCCACACGGGUACUGAGACACGGACCCGACUCCCACGGGAGGCAGCAGUAAGGAAUAUUGGACAAUGGAGGCAACUCUGAUCCAGCCAUCCCGCGUGCAGGAUGACUGCCCUACGGGUUGUAAACUGCUUUUAUUUGGGAAGAAACCUGUUUAUUUACUGAACAGUUGACGGUACCUUAUGAAUAAGCACCGGCUAACUCCGUGCCAGCAGCCGCGGUAAUACGGAGGGUGCAAGCGUUAUCCGGAAUCACUGGGUUUAAAGGGAGCGUAGGCGGCAUGAUAAGUCAGAGGUGAAAGGCUGUAGCUUAACUAUGGAAUUACCUUUGAUACUGUUGUGCUUGAAUCGAGUUGAGGUCAGCAGAAUGUGACAUGUAGCGGUGAAAUGCAUAGAUAUGUCAUAGAAUACCAAUUGUGAAGACAGCUGGCUGGACUUGUAUUGACGCUGAGGCUCGAAAGCGUGGGGAGCAAACAGGAUUAGAUACCCUGGUAGUCCACGCCCUAAACGAUGUUUACUCGAUGUUGGCUUAUAAAGUCAGCGUCCAAGGGAAACCAUUAAGUAAACCACCUGGGGGAGUACGUCGGCAACGAUGAAACUUCAAAGGAAUUGAACGGGGGGUCCCGCACAAAGCGGUGGAGCAUGUGGUUUAAUUCGGAUGAUACGCGAGG